CACCAGCAUAAGACUGAGUGCUCUUAAGAGAAGGUUUAAAAAACAUUGAUGAUUCUGAUCUCGGAAGCUAAGCAGAGUUGAGCCUGGUUAGUAUUUGGAUGGGAGACCACCUAGGAAGACCAGGUGCUGUAGGUGU
Molecule: ribosomal RNA, 136 nt
Filed under: Pteropus vampyrus (large flying fox)
Lineage: Eukaryota; Metazoa; Chordata; Mammalia; Chiroptera; Pteropodidae
Source: RNAcentral